Molecule: transfer RNA, 69 nt
Filed under: Xylotrechus grayii
Lineage: Eukaryota; Metazoa; Arthropoda; Insecta; Coleoptera; Cerambycidae
Description: tRNA-Gln
Source: RNAcentral
UAUAUUUCAGUAUUAGAUGUACCUAAAUUUUUGAAGUUUAAAGAAUCAGUUAAAUCCUGAUAAAUAUAG